CUUUGACAUCCCUCUCAUUGGUCAGCAGGAUGUUUAGUCUAUGUCCAUCUCUUUUCAGAAAUCCCGAGCUGGACACUGAGAACGUCAGUCCUAUCUUUUCUGAGUCUUGAAUCAAAAGCUUCCAGGACUCUAUGGCCUAGAAGUGAAAUUAAAGACACCUCCUGCUGCAGAGAGUGCUUUAAGUAAGGAAGGUUUUCCUUGGCUUCUGUCUGCAUUCCAUAAAAUACUCAUUGCCUUUUAGGUAAGUAUAUGGCUUUGCUUUCAUCCGUUCUAAGCAGAAGAUAUUGAUUGCCUCUGAAACCUGUGUCAUUGUUAUUAAGACAAAAAGCCUGUGAUCUUAAAUAUUUUGCUCUCAGACACUAAAUAAAUAAGUAAGCCCAGCCA
RNAcentral lists this long non-coding RNA (384 nucleotides) under Mus spicilegus (steppe mouse). RNAcentral describes it as "lncRNA (ENSMSIG00000023791.1)". Lineage: Eukaryota; Metazoa; Chordata; Mammalia; Rodentia; Muridae. The record is from RNAcentral.